GUGAAUCAUCGAAUUUUUGAACGCAAAUUGCACUCCCUUCGGAGAGUAUGCCUGUUUGAGUGUCAGCCUAAAAAAAAUCGACAUAGUCGCUGUUUCGCGGUAACAUUCGUCGGAAAUUGAAUCAUCUUAAACCUUUGUGUUUUAAGCGGCGUAAAAUUUUCUUCACGAUUCCACGAAAGUUUCUAAGAUUUACUUCUUACACGUUUAACUUAAUCGCUCUU
Molecule: unclassified non-coding RNA, 221 nt
Filed under: Glomus sp.
Lineage: Eukaryota; Fungi; Glomeromycota; Glomeromycetes; Glomerales; Glomeraceae
Description: partial contains 5.8S ribosomal RNA and internal transcribed spacer 2
Rfam family: 5.8S ribosomal RNA (bases 1-65)
Source: RNAcentral